RNAcentral lists this unclassified non-coding RNA (244 nucleotides) under Hevea brasiliensis (rubber tree). The record is from RNAcentral. Lineage: Eukaryota; Viridiplantae; Streptophyta; Magnoliopsida; Malpighiales; Euphorbiaceae.
AAAUUGGAAAUAUCAUCAACAGUUUCCAUAUUUUAUUUUCAAAUAAUCCUUUUUUUAUAAUUAUUUUAUGUUUUUUUAAUUUUAUUAGUGUGAAUGAAAAGUUAUUAAUUUAGUUAAAAGCUUACACUGAAAUCUCAGGAUUUAUUCACUUACGAAAAAUUGGAGUAAUGUUUUGAAAAUUUUUUUAAAAAAAAUUGGAAAAUAAAAUUUUGUACUCACAUAUACCAGUUUUCUAAAUAAAGAA